Molecule: ribosomal RNA, 332 nt
Filed under: uncultured bacterium
Lineage: Bacteria
Description: partial 16S ribosomal RNA
Rfam family: Bacterial small subunit ribosomal RNA
Source: RNAcentral
CCUACGGGUGGCAGCAGUGGGGAAUAUUGCACAAUGGGGGAAACCCUGAUGCAGCGACGCCGCGUGAGUGAAGAAGGAAUUCGGUAUGUAAAGCUCUAUCAGCAGGGAAGAAAAUGACGGUACCUGAGUAAGAAGCCCCGGCUAACUACGUGCCAGCAGCCGCGGUAAUACGUAGGGGGCAAGCGUUAUCCGGAUUUACUGGGUGUAAAGGGAGCGUAGACGGCAGUGCAAAUCUGGAGGGAAAGGCGGGGGGUCAAACCCCGGACCGCCCUUGAAACUGUGCGGCUUGAGUGCAGGAGAGGUUAGUGGAAUUUCUUGUGUAGCGGUUGAAU